Ornithorhynchus anatinus (platypus) is the source of this 384-nucleotide long non-coding RNA. RefSeq lists it as uncharacterized. Lineage: Eukaryota; Metazoa; Chordata; Mammalia; Monotremata; Ornithorhynchidae. The record is from RefSeq and is a predicted model, not a curated record. The transcript is spliced from 2 exons.
AAAUUCCACAGCAACACCUUAAACUUCAUAUGACAAACUUAACUCUUCUUCUGAAAUCCAAGAGGUUCACACGGGAGACAGGUUUGAUAGGCUAGGACUUAGUCAUGAUUUAUCAUUUUUGCUCUGGGCCAUGGCAAAGUAGGAAUGGAUUCUCUACUCAGUAAAAGAAGAAUCGAACUCAAGUAUCAAAAUGAAAAAGAAUGCUUGACUCUUCUGCUUUCAGACCUAGGAAGCAGUCCUCCUAUGCACAGUAUCACAGAGAUUCUCAGAAGGGGACAAGACUCCCAGGCUUCACUGUUGAAGUGGAAGAUGUCCCAAAUCCGAAGAAAAUACAGCUUGAAAAUCACAGUUAUUAGAUCAAUGGAAUAAACCUACCUCACACAG